RNAcentral lists this ribosomal RNA (497 nucleotides) under uncultured bacterium. RNAcentral's name for it is "partial 16S ribosomal RNA". It matches the Rfam family "Bacterial small subunit ribosomal RNA", at positions 28 to 507 of the family's 1533-position model. The record is from RNAcentral.
GAUGAACGCUGGCGGCGUGCCUAAUACAUGCAAGUCGAGCGAACGGACGAGAAGCUUGCUUCUCUGAUGUUAGCGGCGGACGGGUGAGUAACACGUGGAUAACCUACCUAUAAUACUGGGAUAACUUCGGGAAACCGGAGCUAAUACCGGAUAAUAUUUUGAACCGCAUGGUUCAAAAGUGAAAGACGGUCUUGCUGUCACUUAUAGAUGGAUCCGCGCUGCAUUAGCUAGUUGGUAAGGUAACGGCUUACCAAGGCAACGAUGCAUAGCCGACCUGAGAGGGCGAUCGGCCACACUGGAACUGAGACACGGUCCAGACUCCUACGGGAGGCAGCAGUAGGGAAUCUUCCGCAAUGGGCGAAAGCCUGACGGAGCAACGCCGCGUGAGUGAUGAAGGUCUUCGGAUCGUAAAACUCUGUUAUUAGGGAAGAACAUAUGUGUAAGUAACUGUGCACAUCUUGACGGUACCUAAUCAGAAAGCCACGGCUAACUACGUG